Molecule: unclassified non-coding RNA, 369 nt
Filed under: uncultured Verrucomicrobiae bacterium
Lineage: Bacteria; Pseudomonadati; Verrucomicrobiota; Verrucomicrobiia
Description: contains 16S-23S intergenic spacer region
Source: RNAcentral
UCCGGUUUGUCACCGGCAGUCUCCCUAGAGUGCCCUUGCUGGCAACAUGAGACAAGGGUUGCGCUCGUUGCGGGACUUAACCCAACAUCUCACGACACGAGCUGACGACAGCCAUGCACCACCUGCACACAGACCACAAGGGAAUACCUAUCUCUAGGCACGUCCUGUGCAUGUCAAACCCAGGUAAGGUUCUUCGCGUUGCAUCGAAUUGAGCCACAUACUCCACCGCUUGUGCAGGCCCCCGUCAAUUUCUUUGAGUUUUAAUCUUGCGACCGUACUUCCCAGGCGGCAUAUUUAUCGCGUUGGCUACGCCACAAAAGGGGUCGAUUCCUUUUACAGCAAAUAUGCACCGUUUACAGCUAGGACUAC